CCCGCUGAACUUAAGCAUAUCAAUAAGCGGAGGAGAAGAAAUCAACAGAGAUUGCCUCAGUAACGGCGAGUGAAGCGGCAAAAGCCCAAAAUGGAAAUCUUGGCGCAAGCCACGAAUUGUAAUCUAUAGAGGUUCAGCUCAACGGGUGGUGGCGCAGAAGUGGCCUCGAACGGUCCGCCAGAGAGGGUGACAGCCCCGUAUGUGGUGCCACCGCUCAACGAGCUGGGUUUCGAAGAGUCGGGUUGUUUAGUAUUGCAGCCCUAAGUGGGAGAUAGACUUCUUCUAAGGCUAAAUAUCUACGGGAAACCGAUAGCGAACAAGUACUGUGAAGGAAAGAUGAAAAGAACUUUGAAAAGAGAGUCAAAAGACUUGAAAUCGUUGAGAAGGAAGGGGUAGACGUUUAUCCUACGGCUGAGGACGGUGUUAGUCGCCAAACCAUUGCAGGCUGAGGAAACGUAAAAGGUCCCGGCUUGCACGUGGGGAAGGGACUGGCUUGGACUCAGUAGUGAGGCAAGAUGGGGUCGUACGGCCUCAAAGGCUGCGUUUGACAGGGGGCCUUCGGGCCUCAGCUGAUGCAAGCCGGAGGAAGUACGGCCUGAGGAAGCUUCGGCGAUCUUGCCAAAAUGGCGUUUACCCACCCGUCUUGAAACACGG
RNAcentral lists this ribosomal RNA (654 nucleotides) under uncultured fungus. Its description in RNAcentral is "eukaryotic LSU rRNA". It matches the Rfam family "Eukaryotic large subunit ribosomal RNA", at positions 24 to 664 of the family's 3401-position model. The record is from RNAcentral. Lineage: Eukaryota; Fungi.